This 440-nucleotide ribosomal RNA is filed under the name uncultured bacterium. RNAcentral's name for it is "partial 16S ribosomal RNA". It matches the Rfam family "Bacterial small subunit ribosomal RNA", at positions 338 to 795 of the family's 1533-position model. The record is from RNAcentral.
CCUACGGGUGGCAGCAGUGGGGAAUAUUGCACAAUGGGGGAAACCCUGAUGCAGCGACGCCGCGUGAGUGAAGAAGUAUUUCGGUAUGUAAAGCUCUGUCAGCAGGGAAGAAAAUGACGGUACCUGACCAAGAAGCCCCGGCUAACUACGUGCCAGCAGCCGCGGUAAUACGUAGGGGGCAAGCGUUAUCCGGAUUUACUGGGUGUAAAGGGAGCGUAGACGGCAGGGCAAGUCUGGAGUGAAAGGCGGGGGCCCAACCCCCGUGCUGCUCUGGAAACUGCCAGGCUGGAGUGCAGGAGAGGUAAGCGGAAUGCGUGGUGUAGCGGUGAAAUGCGUAGAGAUGAGGAGGAACACCGGUGGCGAAGGCGGCAUACGGGUGUAUAACUGACGUUGAGGCUCGAAAGCGUGGGUAUCAAACAGGAUUAGAUACCCGGGUAGUC